This 253-nucleotide ribosomal RNA is filed under the name uncultured bacterium. RNAcentral describes it as "partial 16S ribosomal RNA". It matches the Rfam family "Bacterial small subunit ribosomal RNA", at positions 524 to 776 of the family's 1533-position model. The record is from RNAcentral.
UACGAAGGGUGCAAGCGUUACUCGGAAUUACUGGGCGUAAAGCGUGCGUAGGUGGUUUGUUAAGUCUGAUGUGAAAGCCCUGGGCUCAACCUGGGAAUGGCAGUGGAAACUAGGGGACUGGAAUCUGGCAGAGGGGGGUGGAAUGCCGCGUGUAGCAGUGAAAUGCGUAGAGAUGCGGCGGAACACCGAUGGCGAAGGCAGCCCCCUGGGCUGAGAUUGACGCUCAGGCACGAAAGCGUGGGGAGCAAACAGG